RNAcentral lists this ribosomal RNA (255 nucleotides) under uncultured bacterium. RNAcentral's name for it is "partial 16S ribosomal RNA". It matches the Rfam family "Bacterial small subunit ribosomal RNA", at positions 524 to 776 of the family's 1533-position model. The record is from RNAcentral.
UACAGAGGGUGCUAGCGUUGUUCGGAAUCAUUGGGCGUAAAGGGCGUGUAGGCGGUUUGCUAAGUCAUGUGUGAAAUCCCUCGGCUCAACCGGGGAACGACGCAUGAAACUGGCAAGCUAGAGUACCAAAGAGGGGAGACUGGAAUUCCUGGUGUAGCGGUGAAAUGCGUAGAUAUCGUGAGGAAGGCCAGUGGCGAAGGCGGGUCUCUGGACAGUUACUGACACUGAGGCACGAAGGCCAGGGGAGCAAACGGG